GACGAACGCUGGCGGCGUGCUUAACACAUGCAAGUCGAACGGAAAGGCCCUGCUUUUGUGGGGUGCUCGAGUGGCGAACGGGUGAGUAACACGUGAGUAACCUGCCCUUGACUUUGGGAUAACUUCAGGAAACUGGGGCUAAUACCGGAUAGGAGCUCCUGCUGCAUGGUGGGGGUUGGAAAGUUUCGGCGGUUGGGGAUGGACUCGCGGCUUAUCAGCUUGUUGGUGGGGUAGUGGCUUACCAAGGCUUUGACGGGUAGCCGGCCUGAGAGGGUGACCGGCCACAUUGGGACUGAGAUACGGCCCAGACUCCUACGGGAGGCAGCAGCGGGGAAUAUUGCACAAUGGGCGGAAGCCUGAUGCAGCAACGCCGCGUGCGGGAUGACGGCCUUCGGGUUGUAAACCGCUUUCGCCUGUGACGAAGCGUGAGUGACGGUAAUGGGUAAAGAAGCACCGGCUAACUACGUGCCAGCAGCCGCGGUGGUACGUAGGGUGCGAGCGUUGUCCGGAUUUAUUGGGCGUAAAGGGCUCGUAGGUGGUUGAUCGCGUCGGAAGUGUAAUCUUGGGGCUUAACCCUGAGCGUGCUUUCGAUACGGGUUGACUUGAGGAAGGUAGGGGAGAAUGGAAUUCCUGGUGGAGCGGUGGAAUGCGCAGAUAUCAGGAGGAACACCAGUGGCGAAGGCGGUUCUCUGGGCCUUUCCUGACGCUGAGGAGCGAAAGCGUGGGGAGCGAACAGGCUUAGAUACCCUGGUAGUCCACGCUGUAAACGGUGGGUACUAGGUGUGGGGUCCAUUCCACGGGUUCCGUGCCGUAGCUAACGCUUUAAGUACCCCGCCUGGGGAGUACGGCCGCAAGGCUAAAACUCAAAGGAAUUGACGGGGCCCCGCACAAGCGGCGGAGCAUGCGGAUUAAUUCGAUGCAACGCGUAGAACCUUACCUGGGUUUGACAUGGAUCGGGAGUGCUCAGAGAUGGGUGUGCCUCUUUUGGGGUCGGUUCACAGGUGGUGCAUGCCUGUCGUCAGCUCGUGUCGUGAGAUGUUGGGUUAAGUCCCGCAACGAGCGCAACCCUUGUUCACUGUUGCCAGCACGUUAUGGUGGGGACUCAGUGGAGACCGCCGGGGUCAACUCGGAGGAAGGUGGGGAUGACGUCAAGUCCUCAUGCCCCUUAUGUCCAGGGCUUCACGCAUGCUACAAUGGCUGGUACAGAGAGUGGCGAGCCUGUGAGGGUGAGCGAAUCUCGGAAAGCCGGUCUCAGUUCGGAUUGGGGUCUGCAACUCGACCUCAUGAAGUCGGAGUCGCUAGUAAUCGCAGAUCAGCAACGCUGCGGUGAAUACGUUCCCGGGGCU
This 1346-nucleotide ribosomal RNA is filed under the name uncultured bacterium. RNAcentral's name for it is "bacterial SSU rRNA". It matches the Rfam family "Bacterial small subunit ribosomal RNA", at positions 28 to 1381 of the family's 1533-position model. The record is from RNAcentral.